Diabrotica virgifera virgifera (western corn rootworm) is the source of this 777-nucleotide long non-coding RNA. RefSeq lists it as uncharacterized. NCBI's taxonomy places the organism in Eukaryota, Metazoa, Arthropoda, Insecta, Coleoptera, Chrysomelidae. The transcript has 3 exons. The record is from RefSeq and is a predicted model, not a curated record.
CAAGAUGCUGUCAAAAUUAAAUCAAUAUGGCUACCGGAAGGCAAACAUUGAAUAUUAUUCUAUCAGGUUCUUAUGGUUUUAGAUCAUUUUAGUUGUUGUACAAAGAUUAAUUUAACAUUUUCUCUGGAAGUAUUAAUUUAGAAAGAUAAUAUGCCUCAUUGGUGUUGUGUUUUGAAGUGUGAAAUGCAAAGUAAUCGUGAUAAAGUUAGCUUUUACCACUUACCAUCAGUGCUACAUUCUAAGCACAAAACUGAACCAAUUUAACUAAAUAAGUUAUAGUUAUCAUCUGAGAGACAACAACAAUGGUAAAAUGCAAUAAAAUAUUAAGAUUUUACUAGCAAAAUGGAAAUUCCCCUGUAAUCAUCUUAUAUCUGGAAAACCAGCCGACUUAACUGAUAAUAACAAUCCAGAUUGGGUUCCUUCAAUAAAUAUGGGGUAUAUAAACACAAUGAAAUGAGUUCCCCAAAAUCUAAAAUGGGAAUUAAGGUACCAAAGGAGAAUUAAAAGAAAAGGGUACCUACAAGAAAAAAUUGCUUUUUUAUUCCUCUUGAAAUGAUUUAUAAGACACUGGACUGUCUUAUAUUCUACAAAUACUAGAAUCAGCUGAGAGAAGUGGUCUACAAAAACCCAGGAAGGAAACAGAAUAUGUGGCUACGAAAGGCAAAAGAAAGGUUUACAAAGCAAAUGUGACACAUUUUUUUGAAAUAUUUAGGAAUAUCAGUAAAUUGCAUUAAAAAAAUGUAUGAAAAGAUUUUGUUCAAUAAAAAUGUUUAUAUU